RNAcentral lists this ribosomal RNA (462 nucleotides) under uncultured Planctomyces sp. RNAcentral's name for it is "bacterial SSU rRNA". It matches the Rfam family "Bacterial small subunit ribosomal RNA", at positions 338 to 795 of the family's 1533-position model. The record is from RNAcentral. Lineage: Bacteria; Pseudomonadati; Planctomycetota; Planctomycetia; Planctomycetales; Planctomycetaceae.
CCUACGGGGGGCUGCAGUCGAGAAUCUUCCGCAAUGGACGAAAGUCUGACGGAGCGACGCCGCGUGCGGGAUGAAGGCCCUUGGGUUGUAAACCGCUGUCAGAGGGGAUGAAAUCUUCGGAGGUACUCCUCCGAAGUUGACAGAGCCUCAAAGGAAGCACGGGCUAAGUACGUGCCAGCAGCCGCGGUAACACGUACUGUGCGAACGUUAUUCGGAAUCACUGGGCUUAAAGGGUGCGUAGGCGGCGAUUCAAGUCAGAUGUGAAAUGCCUGAGCUCAACUGAGGCAUUGCGUUUGAAACUGAACCGCUAGAGUAUUUCAGGGGUGUGCGGAACUGCCAGUGGAACGGUGAAAUGUGUUGAUAUUGGCAGGAACACCGGAGGCGAAAGCGGCACACUGGGGAAUAACUGACGCUGAGGCACGAAAGCCAGGGGAGCGAACGGGCUUAGAUACCCUUGUAGUC